UCUGACCUCAAAUCAGGUAGGACUACCCGCUGAACUUAAGCAUAUCAAUAAGCGGAGGAAAAGAAACUAACAAGGAUUCCCCUAGUAACUGCGAGUGAAGCGGGAAAAGCUCGAAUUUAAAAUCUGGCGGCUCCGCCGUCCGAGUUGUAUUCUGGAGAA
This 159-nucleotide ribosomal RNA is filed under the name uncultured Cortinarius. Its description in RNAcentral is "partial 28S ribosomal RNA". It matches the Rfam family "Eukaryotic large subunit ribosomal RNA", at positions 1 to 157 of the family's 3401-position model. The record is from RNAcentral. Lineage: Eukaryota; Fungi; Basidiomycota; Agaricomycetes; Agaricales; Cortinariaceae.